CGAUCCUGCAAUUGCAGAUUAGACUACAAUUAGACUAAUUGUGGUCUGCGCGUAGAACAGCUGGUAGGACCGCCUUUGGAGUGAAUGGGCGGGUCCUCUUCUGGACCGCCAUCAUUCUAGAUUAAAGAAUCUCCGCCGGCGGCACUGCUUCGUGGCGGCCUUCUUGCUCAUAAUACGGAAGUAACCUUUUCCUCUUCAACGAAGUAUUGAGCCGGGAGGAGUGAAAUAGCUGAGUAAUCUGAAACGUUUUCUCCAAAAUGAAUUUCUUCCUGGAAACGCUCAAAAUAAUCGUGCUGUGUAUAUAUAAUCUGAUGGAGUAUUUCUUAUCGUUUAUCUAUGCACCGAAGAAAAAUGUUGCUGGUGAAAUAGUGCUUAUAACUGGAGCUGGAAGUGGAAUGGGAAGGCUGAUGGCUUUAAAAUUUGCUCAUCUUGGAGCUACUUUAGUUCUUUGGGAUAUUAAUCUGGAAGGAAUCAAAGAAACAGCUAGAUUAGCACGUAAAAUUGGAACUGCGAGAGUACAUGAUUACAUUUGUGAUUGCAGCAAAAGGCAAGAAAUCUAUCAAGUGGCAGACCAGGUGAAAAAGGAAGUUGGUGAUGUUGGUAUCCUGAUUAAUAAUGCUGGCAUCAUAACGGGAAGAAUGUUUUUAGACAGCCCCGAUAUGCUUCUAGAGAAGAGUAUUCAAGUGAACACAAUGGCACACUUUUGGACUGUCAAAGCAUUUGUUCCAGCCAUGGUAGCCUCUAAUCAUGGACAUGUGGUGACUAUUGCAAGUGUAGCUGGCUAUUAUGCUGUCAACAAAAUGGCAGAUUACUGUACAAGUAAAUUUGCAGUUCUGGGUUUUGCUGAAUCUCUAGCUUUAGAGAUGAUGACAAUGAAAAAGAAUGGUGUUAAAUCUACAAUUGUCUGUCCAUAUCUAGUGAACACUGGAAUGUUUGAAGGCUGUGAAACAAAGUGGCCUCAUUUCCUACCUAUUAUAGAGCCAGAAUAUGCUGUAGAAAGAAUUGUGUCCGGGAUACUCCGAAAUGAACGAUAUAUCUUUAUACCGCGAAGUCUAUACUUGAUUAAUGUAAUUAAAAGCAUUACUCCUGCAAAAUCAGCUGACAUCCUUUAUGACUAUUUUGGAAUUUUACAAACUAUGAAUAAAUUCAAAGGUCGGACAAAGAAGACUGAUGAUUACAAAUAUCAGACAAAAUCAAUAAAACCUCCAGGUUCCCUUGACUGAUUUAUAAACUGAGAAGCCAGUAUAGAGAACUUCCAGUUUACACUGUUGUAAAGGGUACACUUAAAACAACAGAUCUGAAAUAGCUUAUUAGCAAAAAUGAAAUACUGGGAGCAGGGUAUGAUAAUUUUAACUACCACUUUUUACAAUUGCUGAAAUACAACCUAAUAGUGAUGUUUUAUUUCAAUAAAAUUACUUAAUUAUACAAAACCAAUUAAUUUUUUGUGGACUGUUAGCAAAACAAGGAAAAUAGUAAACUAAUAGUAAACUAAUGAUAUAUAAGCUGAAGGUGCUCAAGACCUAGUUGAGUCUAAUUACCCCAUUCUAACCAGGAAAUUGUGGUUUUUCACUUUAGAUGAGAAGAGGAAGAGGUUCAUAUGACUGCUGCCAAAACGCCCAGAUAUUAUUUCAAAGUUAGGUUCUGAAUCCCAACCCAGACUGACGACAACUGCCCACCUAGAAAUUGAGUAGGAACAUCUUGUGGGCUCUGGCUUUCCAGACCCUGCAGUAGAAAAAUCUUAGCCUCAAUGUACCCAGCCACGACAAAAUUCUAUCAACUAACUGGGCAUUUUAGGUACAAAAUAAAUACACUUGUACCACCCACACUUGUACAAGUAAUUGUUCCAUUACUGUUUAGAUUUUUCACAACCAAGAAUAUUUAGACCUCUGCUUGGGUAUGUCUUGGUAAGAAUCACAGACCUUUAUCUAAUUAAAUUAUCUAGUUUAAAAUACAAUUGCGAAAAACAGUAUUUUUAAUAUUAGAAAUUUAAAUUGUUUAAUGUAGCAGUCUGUGAUCAACAUUUUAUUAACAGCUCCAGUAUUCCAUAGAGAACUUCCAUACAAAUAUUAUCCAGGCCUGAUCCUAUUUAGCAUCUAAGUCCAGAAAUAUUACCUAGGUGUUACACCUAAAACAGGCAUCAAGGCAACUUGAGUUGUAAUAAACUUUGUUUUUUAAAUUUAGUAAUUUAAACAUUGACAAUGCUGUGAGCAUACCUUACUAUUUCCUGCAAUGAAUUACAUAUAUCAGUAUAACACUGUUGUAUUUCUAAUAGCAUUUGAAAUUACCUUAAUUAUGUAGAAGACAGAUAUAUUUACCAAUAACAAUUUAUUCUAGAAAAAAAGAUAAAGCCAUGUUUUCCUACAUGAAAAACUUAAUCGAUCCAAAUUUUCUUUUCUUGUAAGAUCAAGAGGCAAAUAAUAGAAUUAAUAAUAUAAUUAUAUUAACAAUAUAUUAUUUGUAUCAUAAGUCCCUACUCAUGCAGAAAUUCAAAUUACAGCAUUUCAAAUAACUCCAUCUAGCUGAGUGCAGUAAUAAACAAUUGUUUAUUUAAUAAAUGUACUAAAUAUGGGAAUAGCUUCAAUAUAGUCUGAAAUGUUGCGGUCAAUUUUUCACAUUCUAAUUUCAGUUUACUGCCUGGUAAUAAUAUAGAACUGUUUCUAAUCAGCAUCAACAAAACAUUUUUUUUAAAAAAUCGUAAGAUUUAUAUGUAUAACUGCUCAUACUCAAAACUUUUGUUAUACUGAGUAUAAACAGGAAUGAAAUCAUCAGCUGAAAUAAUUCAGAAGAUCAAAUCUGAUGCAACACCCCUUUGUCUCAAAGAAUUAAAUAUGGUUCAGAUACAAGGGUUUAUACAGGAUAUGUAUAGAUCUAUUCAUUUUAAUUAUUUGUAUAACUCUGACAUUGUAGUUUGAUUUAACCCUUCAAUACAACAUACCCUUUAACUCCGAGGUCCCAUGGAAGAGAUAUAAAAAACAAUAUGAAUGCUAUGAUAUCCUGACACUUAAUGCUUCAUAUGAACUCAGUGAUUCUUGAUUCCAUCCAGACUGACAUUUAUAUAUAAAUUACAAGCUGAUGUCUGCUGGACAUAUAGAAAGUGUCCAGUUCUUCCUAAACUUUUUGAAAAUACAUGUAGCACCUUUUCUAGGAACCUCCUAAUAUAUACCAAACUGCUUAAUUUAUUAAUAAAAAUGUUAGUUAAUACCAUUGAAUUGACAGACUUGAGGCUAAAGGUGAAAAUAUCUAUAGAUUGGUAACCAUCAACAUCAUAGUGAAGAAUAUUAGUCCUUAAAAUAACAAUUUUUAACAGGAUAUUAAAAUUUAGUGAUAACUGAUACACUGUUCUAAAGUGAGCCAACUUUUGUCUUGUCUUGAGAAAUAAAUCUAUGGGAAUGCUCAGUCCCAUACUAUAUUUUCAACUAUUUCGUUUGAUUACAUUAUCUGUAAUCAAUUUGAAUUCCUUCCUCUUUGUAUAUAUGAAAUUAUGUGUUACAAUAAA
This is an RNA transcript of Protobothrops mucrosquamatus (brown spotted pit viper), 3496 nucleotides long. It is a transcript of the gene named short chain dehydrogenase/reductase family 16C member 5, with no coding region annotated. The transcript is spliced from 8 exons. NCBI's taxonomy places the organism in Eukaryota, Metazoa, Chordata, Lepidosauria, Squamata, Viperidae. The record is from RefSeq and is a predicted model, not a curated record.